Molecule: ribosomal RNA, 317 nt
Filed under: uncultured Legionella sp.
Lineage: Bacteria; Pseudomonadati; Pseudomonadota; Gammaproteobacteria; Legionellales; Legionellaceae
Description: bacterial SSU rRNA
Rfam family: Bacterial small subunit ribosomal RNA
Source: RNAcentral
CAGCCGCGGUAAUACGGAGGGUGCGAGCGUUAAUCGGAAUUACUGGGCGUAAAGGGUGCGUAGGUGGUUUAAUAAGUUAUCUGUGAAAUCCCUGGGCUCAACCUGGGAAGGUCAGAUAAGACUGUUUGACUCGAGUAUGGGAGAGGGUAGUGGAAUUUCCGGUGUAGCGGUGAAAUGCGUAGAGAUCGGAAGGAACACCAGUGGCGAAGGCGGCUACCUGGCCUAAUACUGACACUGAAGCACGAAAGCGUGGGGAGCAAACAGGAUUAGAUACCCUGGUAGUCCACGCCGUAAACGAUGUCAACUAGCUGUUGGAA